ACGCACGCUGGCGGCCGGCCUCACACCUGCAAGUCGCGCGAGGACUUCGGUUCUAGCGGCGGACGGGUGAGUAACGCGUGGGAAUGUGCCCUUCUCUACGGAAUAGCCCUGGGAAACUGGGAGUAAUACCGUAUACGCCCUUUUGGGGAAAGAUUUAUCGGAGAAGGAUCAGCCCGCGUUGGAUUAGGUAGUUGGUGGGGUAAUGGCCUACCAAGCCGACGAUCCAUAGCUGGUUUGAGAGGAUGAUCAGCCACACUGGGACUGAGACACGGCCCAGACUCCUACGGGAGGCAGCAGUGGGGAAUCUUAGACAAUGGGGGCAACCCUGAUCUAGCCAUGCCGCGUGAGUGAUGAAGGCCUUAGGGUUGUAAAGCUCUUUCAGCUGGGAAGAUAAUGACGGUACCAGCAGAAGAAGCCCCGGCUAACUCCGUG
RNAcentral lists this ribosomal RNA (432 nucleotides) under uncultured bacterium. RNAcentral describes it as "partial 16S ribosomal RNA". It matches the Rfam family "Bacterial small subunit ribosomal RNA", at positions 29 to 507 of the family's 1533-position model. The record is from RNAcentral.